Molecule: transfer RNA, 65 nt
Filed under: Sicyonia lancifer
Lineage: Eukaryota; Metazoa; Arthropoda; Malacostraca; Decapoda; Sicyoniidae
Description: tRNA-Asn
Source: RNAcentral
UUGGUUAAAGCCAAAUAGAGGCGUGUCACUGUUAAUGACAAAAAUGGAACAUAUUCCUAACCAAG